Long non-coding RNA from Equus caballus (horse), 1684 nucleotides. The record is from Ensembl. Lineage: Eukaryota; Metazoa; Chordata; Mammalia; Perissodactyla; Equidae.
CCCAGGGCCCACAGAGGUCUCUUCCCUGGGCGCACUAUCAGUAGAGACCCCAUCAGCAGGUACUCCAUCAGCCUGAGGGGUGGCCAAGGCCCUUCAGGGUGCAAGACUGAGUCCAGGACGGGAGGAGGAGGGGCCAGGCCAGGGCCAGGGUUGUUGUCAGUCGGGGCUGGGGGCUGAGGCACCUUGUGGGCAGAAGCUUCUAGGCCUAGGCAGAAAGAGGUCAGGAGAAACCUUAUGGCCUCCACGCUGGGUGCACUUUAUGGGUACCUGAGUGGUGAGAGUGGGAGAGCAGACGUGCCUUGGUGGGAGAUGAAAAGAGGAAAAGGAAAUAGGGUCUAUGUGUUGCCUAAGUGACUGGCAGAGGGAGCCGAACCCAGCAGCCCAGUGAGAAGGGGAGAAAUUCUUUGCAAUCCGUCUUCCUAUUCCCACUCCUGCUCCAGAGCAAGUUGCGGUCUGUGGCAGAAAAUGAGAUUUCUUUUGCAUUUGUUCUGGCCACACUUGUUUGGAUGAACUCUUGCUUUACAUGUUGUGUUUUUUUCCCAUUUUGCUGUUAGGUGGAUGUAUUUAUCAAGGUAGGGGGGUAGAACACAUUUUAUUUAAUAAUUUGUUACCUUAAUUUGUAACUUAACUAUUGAGACUUCUGGUAUGUGGACGUCACUUUGGACUCUGGGUCAUGUCCUGCCAAUGUUAGGGUCAGGACUAUUUCUGGGGAAAUACACAUUUUCUUAAAAAAGAAAAAGAAGAGGAGGUGGGCAGGUCACAUUAAAAUAUAAGUUGUUCCCAAAGGGUGGCUCUUCCUCUUGCUGGUGACUGAUCACUCACCGCUGUACCCAGGAGGGCAGGCUAGAGCCUCUGGGUCUUGACCUUGGCGGCACACUGGGACCACCUGGGCAGCUUUACGGACUCCUGGUGCCCGGUGCCACCCUCAGAGGCUCUGAUUCAUUGGCCUGGGGUGAGGCCAGGGCAUCUAGAUUAUUUAAGAAUUGCCCAGGUUAUUACAAUGUGUACUCAGGGCUGGGAACCCGAGGGCUGGAGGACCCCUGGGUUAGCUUCAGACAAUCUGAGUAAUGGUUUACUUUCUUUGGGUGGGUUGUCUUAUGCCUGGUGGAAAACACUGGACUAACUAAUUCUCUUAGAACUUGGGCUUUUUGACCACUGCAAGUGCCUUGUUUGAUAAUUGCCCACUAGCCAGGUGUUAAUUAACCUUGCUGUACCUCAGUUUGCCCAUCUGUACAAUGGGCAUGAUAAUAGUUUCUUAUCUUUUAGAGUUGUCUUGGGGAUUAAUAAGAGAAUUUGUAAAAUGUUUAGAACGGUUCCUGGUGCUGAGCAGGAGCUACAUAGGCACUUUAUAAAUAAAGGCUAAUUUGUUCCAUUGCACUCAACAUGAGUCCUUCCUUUGUGGACAACCGGUCAGGGAGAGACCCCCGGAGCCUUGACUCGCGGACCCAGGCUCCUUCAGCAAACUUCUUUAGCAAAGCACGGCUUGCUGAGUGGUGUGUACGUCCACGCCUGGGAUACAAACCUGCAAACCCUGGGCUGCUGAAGCAGAGCGUAUGAAUUCAACCACCACGCCACCGGGAUGGCCCCUCAGCACAAUUUUUAAAAUAAAAAUUGCAUAUAUUUAAAGUGUGUAAUGUGAUGUUUUGUUUUAUGUAUACAUUGUGAAACAAUUAUUGUAGUCAAG